RNAcentral lists this non-coding RNA (99 nucleotides) under Lentilactobacillus diolivorans. Its description in RNAcentral is "Lactobacillus diolivorans TPP sequence". It matches the Rfam family "TPP riboswitch aptamer (THI element)". From Rfam's summary of the family: Vitamin B(1) in its active form thiamin pyrophosphate (TPP) is an essential coenzyme that is synthesised by coupling of pyrimidine and thiazole moieties in bacteria. The previously detected thiamin-regulatory element, thi box was extended, resulting in a new, highly conserved RNA secondary structure, the THI element, which is widely distributed in eubacteria and also occurs in some archaea. Lineage: Bacteria; Bacillati; Bacillota; Bacilli; Lactobacillales; Lactobacillaceae. The record is from RNAcentral.
UAUGAUCACUAGGGGUGCUGUAUGCUGAGAUGGCGGAUUGCCAAUCCCUUUGAACCUGAUUUGGUUAGAACCAACGUAGGGUAUUGCAUCCGUACAUAA